UUGCCCAAUUGGAUAAAAAAAAGGUGAGGGAAGAGCCAGUUGAUAGACAUUAAUUUCGACCAAUUAUUACAGGAAAACCGAGCAUGACGGGUGAAUUCAACUAUCAAUCAGAUUUCGGAGACGGAUAUGAAGGUGGAGCUUCGGGAUUCCCUCGGUCUCUGGGUAGGCGGAGCUGAGAAGGAGAGAAAGAUGGCGGAGUGAAGAACUGCCGCUCCCGCUGCGGCUGUGGCUGCGGCCGCGGCUGCGGGGAAUCCUCGGAGGCCGAGGUGGGCCAGCCUUGGUCAACGGCGCACUAGUCUUGACAACUCAGGUUCCUCAUACUAGGCAAAACAAUUUUCCUACAAUGUUUAUGGUUGUCCUCAUCUUGGAAGGAAAACAGAACCCAGAGCUCAGGAUUUAGCUGGUUCUUUAGAAGAAGAAAAAAGAUUUCAUUUGCAUCAUUAUAUCCUUCACUGUUUUCUCAGGUGAUCCUGCUUUUUUUUACUUAACUGCAGUCCUUGGUCUUGACAUUUGGAUCUAUCUCCUCUCUACUUGAACUCCAUGAACCAGAAUGGAAAAGAUAACUUCACAUCAUGUUCCACUUCUCAAAUCCAGCACAUUUAGCUUUGUUAGGUGGCUUUCCCCAGGGUGCCAUCUGUCAAUUACACCAGGAAAAAAGAAGUGAUUGAUGUUUGGUAUGCAGCAACUGUUUGCUUAGAUGAAAGAAGGGAUUUUUUUCCUCCCAUAUAGAAGCAUAAUAUUUAGAUUGGUGCCAGGUCCUUAGAUGGUGAUAUUUGUGAGUUCUUUGCCUAAGAACUCAAAAUGUCUGCAGGGGCCACUUGUAUCCUGUUUGAAUUAGUAUAGAAUUACAUGUAUACAUAAUUAGAACAAGAUAUCUUUUAUUUCAAUAUGGAAAGUUCAUUUUGGAAACUAAAAACAAUGUGUCUGAAUCCUAAUUAAUUCCAUCACAUAGAUUUCUUAAUCCAGAACAAAGGGCCAGCUUUGUAGAUACCCAUGUGACAUGGGAGAAAAAAAGCAAAUGCUCUUCAAUUCACUGUAAUACUUAAGAAUGUUGGGGACUAAAGAUUCUUAUGGAGCUUUUGGAGUAACUUGACCGAAGCAUGUGUGAUUAUAGCAAACAGGAACUAAUACAUGACAAAGAAGUAAUAAGAAGCUGCUUCCCGCAGAGGUUUUCCUUAAGUUAGUAUAACCUCACUGUAAUUGUAGGGCUUAUCUUGGCACUGUUGGAAAAACUCUCAUCUUCCAAGUUAAAGGAUAAAAAUAACCUUCAAAUAGGCCAGAGUUGAACCACUUAGUUCAUACUUAGCAAGUUUGUUCCUAACACACAUUGGAAAGAUGAGCUUUACUAAGCCUCUUUACAGUUUUUCUCUAGCCACUUAUUGAUAGAACAUCUGUGAAACCAACUAGGGAAAUUAAUUGUUAAUUGUUUUUGGUUUAAGAAUACAUUAACCAUCAAUCUUCAACUCCUCUAAAAGGGAGUUAUAAAUACUCUUAUAUGCAACUCUUUUUAUCUUAAAAUACAUCAAGAAAUUCAAACUUUAAGAAUUAUUCUUUAAAAGCAAAAACUCAUAAACAGAAAGCCUUCCUUGUAAAGAUAUUUUUCUUUGAAAAUAAAGGUGUCAAUAUGCUGCGCCACUGUUGGAAUGUUAGGUUUUAUUUUUUCCAUCAUGGGGUGAAAUAUCCAAAAUAAAUAAAUUGGAAUAGUGUAUGAUAAUUUUCUGUAACUGUACUAUUCUUGAAUCUGCUUUUAAGUUGUAUGUAAAAUAAAACAAUGUGACAUUAAAUUAGGAAGACCCAAUACUCACUUUUAUUCUAUGUAUUGAUUUUCUUUAGUGCAGGAAAGAUUGUUUACUUACUGUAUGCACAUGCAGCACUGUAAUCUCUAUUCCAUUGCACAGUUAUACUUUAUGAGGUAAUAUUGUUAGAAUUUCUUGUUGUAUAUACCUGAAAUUUUGCAGACCGCAGCUUGCUGUUAUAUCUAUGCAUCUUUGGGAUUUUGAAGAAGAGAUUUUAUUCUUUUGAUGGUAUAAUGAGAAACUUUUUUAAACCAUACAUUGGAAACUCUGCAACUCUGUAUAAAAUUUUUGGGCUUUGUUUUUGGUUUUUAGCAAUAAAGCAGCAUGAGCUGAGAAUGCACUGAAA
RNAcentral lists this long non-coding RNA (2142 nucleotides) under Sarcophilus harrisii (Tasmanian devil). RNAcentral's name for it is "lncRNA (ENSSHAG00000032279.1)". The record is from RNAcentral. Lineage: Eukaryota; Metazoa; Chordata; Mammalia; Dasyuromorphia; Dasyuridae.